UAGCAGCAGUCCCUGGUAGGCAGCAAUGGCUAACAAUCAACUGGGGCAGCAGCUGUGAGAAGUGCAGUGUUAACAUCCAUCACCUCCUGGCACGGACAUCGUCCUCCUUCAAAGUGACAGAUCAGAAGGACCAAUAGAUGGGUCCGAGGGAAAUUUGAGUAUAAGUGGUAACAGUCUAAGCAAAACAAGGUGGGAAAGCAAAGGAGAAUUCUAUCAUGAUGAACGUAGGGUAUUGACAUUUUGAAUUGAAGAUGGUGGACACCAGGAUGAAGUUGCAUUGGUGUUACAGACUAAGGUUUGAAACAUUUAUUGAAAUCAGAUAAUGUACAGUGAUCUGACUCUCCACAGAUAGUACAAGACGAUAGCUUUCAUCUACAAGUAUCUUAGCCACAAAAAUAUCCAGACAGACAAGUGGAUUUCAGAUGUCAUAGAAUACAGGCAGGAUUGAAGCAACUAUACAGUAUGUAUGACUCAGCUGGAGGGCUGAGUCACUGACGACCUGCUGAAGAAACCAUCAGCCACAGGGGUGCUCACAAGAGGUGGAUGAUAACCUUUUUCAAGAACUAAGAAACAGCAGUCUCAUAGCCAACCAGAAGGGGGCACUCACAAGAGCACAAAAUGCAAUAGAUGAUUUCCAGACAAGUCUGCAGAUCAAGGUACAGCUCCAAAGAGCUCACAUCUUAAUGAACAGCAAGCAAACAAAGGAUGAGUUUACAGAGAAAAGAAAAAAGCAGUGCAAGCACAUAUUGAAGUCAAAUUCAUCUUUUUAGCUGUCUAUAUUUUUUUCUUCUACAAUUUGUUGAGUUCAGUGUUAGCAUUCCGAUAAUAAUUUCCUGAGUGGCUGGAAAAUGUGGAGGAUCUGACAUAGCCCUUACACCUUUAAACGUCCUCUCUAAUACACAUAAUCUCCCAUUUGUCUCCUUGAAGUUGUGUAGGAGUCUCUAUUAAAGAUGAUUAAACUGUGUAGUUUGU
Molecule: long non-coding RNA, 972 nt
Organism: Mauremys reevesii (Reeves's turtle)
Lineage: Eukaryota; Metazoa; Chordata; Testudines; Geoemydidae
Exons: 6
Source: RefSeq, a predicted model, not a curated record